GACGAACGCUGGCGGCGUGCUUAACACAUGCAAGUCGAGCGGUAAGGCCCUUCGGGUACGACGAGCGGCGAACGGGUGAGUAACACGUGGGUGACCUGCCUCUAGCUCUGGGAUAAGCCUGGGAAACUGGGUCUAAUACCGGAUAUGACUCCACGGCGCAUGUUGUGGGGUGGAAAGCCUUGUGCGGCUGAGGAUGGGCCCGCGGCCUAUCAGCUUGUUGGUGGGGUGAUGGCCUACCAAGGCGACGACGGGUAGCCGGCCUGAGAGGGCGACCGGCCACACUGGGACUGAGACACGGCCCAGACUCCUACGGGAGGCAGCAGU
This 324-nucleotide ribosomal RNA is filed under the name uncultured bacterium. Its description in RNAcentral is "bacterial SSU rRNA". It matches the Rfam family "Bacterial small subunit ribosomal RNA", at positions 28 to 355 of the family's 1533-position model. The record is from RNAcentral.